AUUGAACGCUGGCGGCAGGCCUAACACAUGCAAGUCGAGCGGAUGAAGGGAGCUUGCUCCUGGAGUCAGCGGCGGACGGGGGAGUAAUGCCUAGGAAUCUGCCUGGUAGUGGGGUAUAACGUCCGGAAACGGGCGCUAAUACCGCAUACGUCCUGAGGGAGAAAGUGGGGGAGCUUCGGACCUCACGCUAUCAGAUGAGCCUAGGUCGGAUUAGCUAGUUGGUGGGGUAAAGGCCUACCAAGGCGACGAUCCGUAACUGGUCUGAGAGGAUGAUCAGUCACACUGGAACUGAGCCACGGUCCAGACUCCUACGGGAGGCCGCAGUGGGGAAUAUUGGACAAUGGGCGAAAGCCUGAUCCAGCCAUGCCGCGUGUGUGACGAAGGUCUUCGGAUUGUAAAGACCUUUAAGUUGGGAGGAAGGGCAGUAAGUUAAUACCUUGCUGUUUUGACGUUACCAACAGAAUAAGCACCGGCUAACUUCGUG
Molecule: ribosomal RNA, 484 nt
Filed under: uncultured bacterium
Lineage: Bacteria
Description: partial 16S ribosomal RNA
Rfam family: Bacterial small subunit ribosomal RNA
Source: RNAcentral